UUUGCUAGUGCUGAGAAUUGAAGCAAAUGUAACAUCCUUGAUGCAUAGGCAUUGGCUAAAAAGAUGGUGCUAUAAUGAAUGCAAAGAAAUAUCUAUCUGAAAGUCCAAACUGCUGUCUACAAAUCAAGAUAACUUCAUCCUCCUAGUACAAUCUGAGUGACAUCCAAUGUUUGUGGCUAUGACACUACCAUUGAACUAGCCUAGAAUAAUGGUUAGGUACACAUCAGAUUGAUAGAAAGCAACUUAACUGGUUUACUUGAACUGUA
RNAcentral lists this long non-coding RNA (266 nucleotides) under Gossypium barbadense (sea-island cotton). RNAcentral's name for it is "long non-coding RNA (GBAR_LNC000128)". Lineage: Eukaryota; Viridiplantae; Streptophyta; Magnoliopsida; Malvales; Malvaceae. The record is from RNAcentral.